CCCUUAGAUGUCCUGGGCCGCACGCGCGCUACACUGAACAGUUCAACAAGUCUUAACCUUGGCCGAUAGGUCUGGGUAAUCUUUGAACGCUGUUCGUGAUUGGGAUAGACCUUUGCAAUUAUGGGUCUUCAACGAGGAAUUCCUAGUAAACGCAAGUCAUCAGCUUGCAUUGAUUACGUCCCUGCCCUUUGUACACACCGCCCGUCGCACCUACCGAUUGAAUGGUCCGGUGAAAUCUCGGGACGGCGGCUUGGUCGCUUGCGUCCGACUGCUGAAACUUGAUUAAACCAUAUCAUUUAGAGGAAGGUGAAGUCGUANCA
This 320-nucleotide ribosomal RNA is filed under the name uncultured eukaryote. RNAcentral describes it as "partial 18S ribosomal RNA". It matches the Rfam family "Eukaryotic small subunit ribosomal RNA", at positions 1470 to 1796 of the family's 1831-position model. The record is from RNAcentral.